AAAAAGUAAAACCCUGAAUUUUUUUGUCUAAUUUUUACUGUCCGUCUUAUAUGAAAUUUUUUUAUAAUUCGUAUUUUUAUUUGUUGUUAGAUGAUAAAACAUGAUUAAUAUUUUAUACGCGACUUGUCUUUUUAAUUUUUUUUAUAAUCUUUUUAAAUAAGACGGACAGUCAAACGUUGGACACGGAAAUC
Molecule: microRNA precursor, 191 nt
Filed under: Oryza glumipatula
Lineage: Eukaryota; Viridiplantae; Streptophyta; Magnoliopsida; Poales; Poaceae
Description: MIR812 microRNA precursor family
Rfam family: MIR812 microRNA precursor family
Source: Rfam by way of RNAcentral